UCUACCUUAGGUUCCUACCUUGGUCUCAAGUGAGCCCCAGCUGGAAGUUCAUACUAAAAUUGACACAAGGGGUGCCUGGUCAUAUCAUGUCCAAUUUCUUAGCAACCAGCCAGUGAGGGCGUGGGUUCAUGAAAAGCAGGUAUGGGAGUAUAAAGGUCAUAAACAGUAUAAAGAAUUACUGGCUGAGGCUCCCAAAGAAGCCAGCAAUCACUCUGAGAAAAAAAGACCUGGAAACCUCAACCUCAGAGAGGACAUGCUCAGUGGGAUACUGGCAUUGCCCAUGCAAAGAAAGUGUUGAAUAUGACUCAAGGAGAAAUAAUAAAGCAAUAUACUUUUAUCUAUGUUGAUAAACAGCUGGAAGAGGCUUUAACCCAAGCAAAAA
This 382-nucleotide long non-coding RNA is filed under the name Homo sapiens (human). RNAcentral describes it as "non-protein coding lnc-DEFB135-1:1". The record is from RNAcentral. Lineage: Eukaryota; Metazoa; Chordata; Mammalia; Primates; Hominidae.